UCCCUUUUUAAAAUACCUAGAUGAUACGUAUACCUUACAGAGGGGCUUGCGCCAUAUUAUUUAUUUGGUAUGGUACUGGCCUACCGUGACUAUGAUGUGUAGCUGUGCUGAGAGGAUGAGCAGACACAUUGUGACUGAGACACGGCCAAAACUCCUACUGGAAGUGACACUAGGACAUUUUCCGCAAUGGAGGAAACUCUGACCAAUCAUCGCCACGUGAACGACGACUGACUUUGGAAUGUAAAGUUCUUUAAUCAAGGAUGAAAAGCAUAUGGUGAACGCAUUUGUUUGCCAGUACUUGACGAAUAAACCCCGGCUACUUAUGCGCCACCUACCGCGAAAACACCUAAGGGGCAAGUGUUAUCCGGAAUUAUUGGACGUAAGGGGUGCGUAGGCGGCCUAAUAAUUCGGCGGUGUAAUGUCAACGCUCAACGUUGUCCGGCUAUUGAAACUGCCAAACUUGAGUUAGAUAGAGGCAAGUGAAACUCCAUGUGUUGCGGGAAAAUGAGUAAAUAUAUGGAGGAACACCAGAGGCGUAUGCGGCUCACUGGGUCUUAACUGACGCUGACGCACGAAAGCCUGGGGAGCAAACAGGAUUAUAUACCCUGGUAGUCCACGCCGUAAACGAUGAUUACUACCCGGCUGGUUAACCCCGUACUGAAUUUAAGACAUUAGAUACUCCGCCUGAGUAGUACGUACGCGAGUAUGAAACUUAAAGGACUUGACCUGACUCCCAACAACGCGAUGAAUCAUGUCGAUUAAUUCUGAGAUACCCGAACAACCUUACCAGGUCUUGACAUGUUAUUGCGAGACGGUAGUAGUAUCGUAGCAGGUUAUCGGAAUCACAUGUGGUGCAUGGAUGUCGUCAGCUCGUGUCGUGAGAUGUGAGGUCAGGUCCUAGNACGAGCGAAACCCUUAUCGUUAGUUGCCAGCACGUUAUGGUGGCGCACUUUAACGAGACUGUCAGUGAUAAAUUCGGAGGAAUGUGAAGAUCACGUCA
This 1000-nucleotide small RNA is filed under the name Candidatus Phytoplasma citri. RNAcentral's name for it is "bacterial SSU rRNA". It matches the Rfam family "Bacterial small subunit ribosomal RNA", at positions 194 to 1187 of the family's 1533-position model. The record is from RNAcentral. Lineage: Bacteria; Bacillati; Mycoplasmatota; Mollicutes; Acholeplasmatales; Acholeplasmataceae.